This 675-nucleotide ribosomal RNA is filed under the name uncultured bacterium. RNAcentral's name for it is "bacterial SSU rRNA". It matches the Rfam family "Bacterial small subunit ribosomal RNA", at positions 86 to 755 of the family's 1533-position model. The record is from RNAcentral.
UACUCGAGAGUGGCGAACGGGUGAGUAAUAUAUCGGAACGUGCCCAGUCGUGGGGGAUAACGUAGAGAAAUUUACGCUAAUACCGCAUACGAUCUACGGAUGAAAGCGGGGGAUUCGCAAGAACCUCGCGCGAUUGGAGCGGCUGAUAUCAGAUUAGGUUGUUGGUGAGGUAAAAGCUCACCAAGCCGACGAUCUGUAGCUGGUUUGAGAGAACGACCAGCCACACUGGGACUGAGACACGGCCCAGACUCCUACGGGAGGCAGCAGUGGGGAAUUUUGGACAAUGGGCGAAAGCCUGAUCCAGCAAUGCCGCGUGUGGGAAGAAGGCCUUCGGGUUGUAAACCACUUUUGUACGGAACGAAACGGUUCGCUUUAAUACAGUGGGCUAAUGACGGUACCGUAAGAAUAAGCACCGGCUAACUACGUGCCAGCAGCCGCGGUAAUACGUAGGGUGCGAGCGUUAAUCGGAAUUACUGGGCGUAAAGCGUGCGCAGGCGGUUAUAUAAGACAGUUGUGAAAUCCCCGGGCUCAACCUGGGAAUUGCAUCUGUGACUGUAUAGCUAGAGUACGGUAGAGGGGGAUGGAAUUCCGCGUGUAGCAGUGAAAUGCGUAGAUAUGCGGAGGAACACCAAUGGCGAAGGCAAUCCCCUGGACCUGUACUGACGCUCAUGCACG